This 497-nucleotide ribosomal RNA is filed under the name uncultured bacterium. Its description in RNAcentral is "partial 16S ribosomal RNA". It matches the Rfam family "Bacterial small subunit ribosomal RNA", at positions 28 to 507 of the family's 1533-position model. The record is from RNAcentral.
GAUGAACGCUGGCGGCGUGCCUAAUACAUGCAAGUCGAGCGAACGGACGAGAAGCUUGCUUCUCUGAUGUUAGCGGCGGACGGGUGAGUAACACGUGGAUAACCUACCUAUAAGACUGGGAUAACUUCGGGAAACCGUAGCUAAUACCGGAUAAUAUUUUGAACCGCAUGGUUCAAAAGUGAAAGACGGUCUUGCUGUCACUUAUAGAUGGAUCCGCGCUGCAUUAGCUAGUUGGUAAGGUAACGGCUUACCAAGGCAACGAUGCAUAGCCGACCUGAGAGGGUGAUCGGCCACACUGGAACUGAGACACGGUCCAGACUCCUACGGGAGGCAGCAGUAGGGAAUCUUCCGCAAUGGGCGAAAGCCUGACGGAGCAACGCCGCGUGAGUGAUGAAGGUCUUCGGAUCGUAAAACUCUGUUAUUAGGGAAGAACAUAUGUGUACGUAACUGUGCACAUCUUGACGGUACCUAAUCAGAAAGCCACGGCUAACUACGUG